Molecule: ribosomal RNA, 253 nt
Filed under: uncultured bacterium
Lineage: Bacteria
Description: partial 16S ribosomal RNA
Rfam family: Bacterial small subunit ribosomal RNA
Source: RNAcentral
UACGUAGGGGGCAAGCGUUAAUCGGAAUUACUGGGCGUAAAGCGUGCGCAGGCGGUGAUGUAAGACAGAUGUGAAAUCCCCGGGCUCAACCUGGGAACUGCAUUUGUGACUGCAUCGCUGGAGUGCGGCAGAGGGGGAUGGAAUUCCGCGUGUAGCAGUGAAAUGCGUAGAUAUGCGGAGGAACACCGAUGGCGAAGGCAAUCCCCUGGGCCUGCACUGACGCUCAUGCACGAAAGCGUGGGGAGCAAACAGG